AGUCACUAGACGAAUUCGAAUCGCCAUACAAGGUUUUGCAAACCUCUGCUCUAACCAUUAAGCUAUAGUGAC
RNAcentral lists this transfer RNA (72 nucleotides) under Hyperionvirus sp. Its description in RNAcentral is "tRNA-Cys". The record is from RNAcentral. Lineage: Varidnaviria; Bamfordvirae; Nucleocytoviricota; Megaviricetes; Imitervirales; Mimiviridae.